AUAUAUCUUAAGUUUUCAGUUUCGACCACUUUUGGUCACCGAAAGCUCUACCAAACUAAAAUCUCUAGUAUAUAGCAGUCGGAUUUUAUUUUUCACUUUUCUGGUGUCAGAAUGACAUGAAACUUUAAAUCUAGCCUCAUAAAAAUAAUCCUGACAUAUUUUCAGAUUUUCAUAAUUUUCUGACACUGUGCAUUUUCUGCUAAAAUAUCAGUCCCGUUCCUUACAGAAAAUUCUAAAUCUUCUGUUUUCAUUCUGAUUUUAGCACGAGUCACUUCCGACUCAUAUGUUACUUCUUUAAGUCCAAUAAAAAUAGUAUCUCACACUAUUUUUAUUUACACUUAAUUUUAUAUUAAAAUCUGGUACAUUACUUUCUCUCCUUCUUAAAAGAGUUUCGUCCUCGAAACUUCAAUCACACUUCAACUCGACCUAUCGAGCCAUUGA
This 441-nucleotide long non-coding RNA is filed under the name Ananas comosus (pineapple). Its description in RNAcentral is "long non-coding RNA (ACOM_LNC021063)". Lineage: Eukaryota; Viridiplantae; Streptophyta; Magnoliopsida; Poales; Bromeliaceae. The record is from RNAcentral.